CCCCUUGUCGAACUCAAUAUAUAUCUUUUUAAAAAAAUUACAAUUUUAUGGGCAUUACUGCCAUUUUGGAAAAAAUUAGUCUAAUAGGACAUAAAGUAGUGUAAAUUAGUCUAAAAGGACAUAAUUACCAUUUUUUGCUCUAAAAAAACAGAUUUCCCUAUUAUAUUUUUCAUUUAGAUGUAAGAUUUCAAAAUAUUAUCAUUACAAAUGAAUACCUCUCCCAUCACAAACUUUAUCCAAUAUACAGUAGAAUUUUCAGUUCAGAUAUGUUCAAGUCUAUAGGAUUCAAACUAAUAAAAAUUGACAUUUAACAUUUAAACUCCGUCGAAAAUUUAAAUGAAAUCCAUCAUACUA
RNAcentral lists this long non-coding RNA (354 nucleotides) under Brassica napus (rape). Its description in RNAcentral is "long non-coding RNA (BNAP_LNC012926)". The record is from RNAcentral. Lineage: Eukaryota; Viridiplantae; Streptophyta; Magnoliopsida; Brassicales; Brassicaceae.